Molecule: transfer RNA, 72 nt
Filed under: Aedes aegypti (yellow fever mosquito)
Lineage: Eukaryota; Metazoa; Arthropoda; Insecta; Diptera; Culicidae
Rfam family: tRNA
About the family: Transfer RNA (tRNA) molecules are approximately 80 nucleotides in length. Their secondary structure includes four short double-helical elements and three loops (D, anti-codon, and T loops). Further hydrogen bonds mediate the characteristic L-shaped molecular structure. tRNAs have two regions of fundamental functional importance: the anti-codon, which is responsible for specific mRNA codon recognition, and the 3' end, to which the tRNAs corresponding amino acid is attached (by aminoacyl-tRNA synthetases). tRNAs cope with the degeneracy of the genetic code in two manners: having more than one tRNA (with a specific anti-codon) for a particular amino acid; and 'wobble' base-pairing, i.e. permitting non-standard base-pairing at the 3rd anti-codon position.
Source: Rfam by way of RNAcentral
GUAGUUGUAGUAUAAUUCGUAAUGCGUCCGUUUACUGAAUGGAAAUUGUGGGUCCAAGUCCUGCUGGCAGCA